UCUGGUUGCCCUGACGUUGUUAGAGAUGUGUUCGAGCCACGAUGAUGGCGAUGAUGAUUGACCCAUGAUGCAACCGUCACUAUUUCUGUACACAAGCACCUGUCAAACAGGUUAUUGAUUGUAGUGGUACUUGAUGACUAUUCUAUCCCCUUCUGCUGAGCAUUCGUAAAAGCUGCAUCCCCUAGUGAACGGUACAGAGGUUGAGGAAAGUUGAGGAAACCUUUUUCCCUUGUAUUGGAGAAUAGAAGGAGCAGUCUUCAAAGCAACAAUUGUCUGAAAUAUUCCCCAUCGCUCUGCCUUCAUAAAUUUCUGCACAAGAUCAGAUGAUCUUUUAAAGGGUAUGGAGCCAGGCAUGAGUCCGCUCCUUGCCUUGAAGCAGAUGGUACGUUGUGGGAUUUGGCCUGAGAAAUUGACAGUAGAAGCCAUUUCUUAGAUGAGAUUAAGAUGGGUGAAGGUUCUGAAAUAUGAAUUUGACAGGAUAGCAUCAAGCCAAGUCAGACAGAACAGAGCAAAGAAUAAAGAAGCAUCGCCCAAACCUUACCACGAUAUCAAAGAAUCCAUGUGCUAGGCAGUGAUCCAGGUUGAACUGUUAAAAGUAACAAGAACAACUUGGCCUGUAAGGUUUGCAAGGAAUCUCAUUUUAACUUCACCUUAAUAGGGAUUCAUCUAGUCUAACAUGUGUUUGAUAUAGAAUAUUUGUGGUCUAGGCAUCAGGGGUGCUUUAAUUCUCAGACUUAACGUUAUUUGCUUUUCUGGUUUA
Molecule: long non-coding RNA, 760 nt
Organism: Ricinus communis (castor bean)
Lineage: Eukaryota; Viridiplantae; Streptophyta; Magnoliopsida; Malpighiales; Euphorbiaceae
Exons: 4
Source: RefSeq, a predicted model, not a curated record